GCCGGGUGUGGUGGCGGGCACCUGUAAUCCCAGCUACUUGGGAGGCUGAGGCAGGAGAAUUGCUUGAACCCAGGAGAUGAAGGUUGCAGUGAGCCAAGAUCAUGCCAUUGCACUCCAGCCUGGGUGACAGAGCAAGUCUCUGUCUCAA
This is an unclassified non-coding RNA of Callithrix jacchus (white-tufted-ear marmoset), 148 nucleotides long. It matches the Rfam family "Metazoan signal recognition particle RNA". Rfam says of the family: The signal recognition particle (SRP) is a universally conserved ribonucleoprotein. Lineage: Eukaryota; Metazoa; Chordata; Mammalia; Primates; Cebidae. The record is from Ensembl.